Molecule: ribosomal RNA, 494 nt
Filed under: uncultured bacterium
Lineage: Bacteria
Description: partial 16S ribosomal RNA
Rfam family: Bacterial small subunit ribosomal RNA
Source: RNAcentral
GAUGAACGCUGGCGGCGUGCCUAAUACAUGCAAGUCGAGCGAACAGACGAGGAGCUUGCUCCUCUGACGUUAGCGGCGGACGGGUGAGUAACACGUGGAUAACCUACCUAUAAGACUGGGAUAACUUCGGGAAACCGGAGCUAAUACCGGAUAAUAUAUUGAACCGCAUGGUUCAAUAGUGAAAGACGGUUUUGCUGUCACUUAUAGAUGGAUCCGCGCCGCAUUAGCUAGUUGGUAAGGUAACGGCUUACCAAGGCAACGAUGCGUAGCCGACCUGAGAGGGUGAUCGGCCACACUGGAACUGAGACACGGUCCAGACUCCUACGGGAGGCAGCAGUAGGGAAUCUUCCGCAAUGGGCGAAAGCCUGACGGAGCAACGCCGCGUGAGUGAUGAAGGUCUUCGGAUCGUAAAACUCUGUUAUUAGGGAAGAACAAAUGUAGUAACUAUGCACGUCUUGACGGUACCUAAUCAGAAAGCCACGGCUAACUACGUG